UCGGGAAUUUUGGGCAAUAGGGGAAACCCUGACCCAGCAACGCCGCGUGAAGGAUGAAGUAUUUCGGUAUGUAAACUUCGAAAGAAUAGGAAGAAUAAAUGACGGUACUAUUUAUAAGGUCCGGCUAACUACGUGCCAGCAGCCGCGGUAAUACGUAGGGACCAAGCGUUGUUCGGAUUUACUGGGCGUAAAGGGCGCGUAGGCGGCAUGACAAGUCACUUGUGAAAUCUCUGGGCUUAACCCAGAACGGCCAAGUGAUACUGUCGCGCUAGAGUGCAGAAGGGGCAAUCGGAAUUCUUGGUGUAGCGGUGAAAUGCGUAGAUAUCAAGAGGAACACCUGAGGUGAAGACGGGUUGCUGGGCUGACACUGACGCUGAGGCGCGAAAGCCAGGGGAGCAAACGGGGAUUAGAUACCCUCGUAGUCCCUGAGCGGGCUGGCAAGGCGCAU
This 448-nucleotide ribosomal RNA is filed under the name uncultured bacterium. RNAcentral describes it as "bacterial SSU rRNA". It matches the Rfam family "Bacterial small subunit ribosomal RNA", at positions 355 to 825 of the family's 1533-position model. The record is from RNAcentral.